Molecule: ribosomal RNA, 496 nt
Filed under: uncultured bacterium
Lineage: Bacteria
Description: partial 16S ribosomal RNA
Rfam family: Bacterial small subunit ribosomal RNA
Source: RNAcentral
GAUGAACGCUGGCGGCGUGCCUAAUACAUGCAAGUCGAGCGAACAGACGAGGAUCUUGCUCCUCUGACGUUAGGGGCGGACGGGUGAGUAACACGUGGAUAACCUACCUAUAAGAAUGGGAUAACUUCGGGAAACCGGAUCUAAUACCGGAUAAUAUAUUGAACCGCAUGGUUCAAUAGUGAAAGACGGAUUUGCUGUGACUUAUAGAUGGUCCCGCGCCGCAUUAGCUAGUUGGUAAGGUAACGGCUUACCAAGGCAACGAUGCGUAGGCGACCGGAGAGGGUGAUCGGCCACACUGGAACUGAGACACGGUCCAGACUCCUACGGAAGGCAGCAGGAGGGAAUCUUCCGCAAGGGGCGAAAGCCUGGCGGAGCAACGCCGCGUGAGUGAUGAAGGUCUUCGGAUCGUAAAACUCUGUUAUUAGGGAAGAACAAAUGUGUAAGUAACUAUGCACGUCUUGACGGUACCUAAGCAGAAAGCCACGGCUAACUACGU